GAUGAACGCUGGCGGCGUGCCUAAUACAUGCAAGUCGAGCGAACGGACGAGAAGCUUGCUUCUCUGAUGUUAGCGGCGGACGGGUGAGUAACACGUGGAUAACCUACCUAUAAGACUGGGAUAACUUCGGGAAACCGGAGCUAAUACCGGAUAAUAUUUUGAACCGCAUGGUUCAAAAGUGAAAGACGGUCUUGCUGUCACUUAUAGAUGGAUCCGCGCUGCAUUAGCUAGUUGGUAAGGUAACGGCUUACCAAGGCAACGAUGCAUAGCCGACCUGAGAGGGUGAUCGGCCACACUGGAACUGAGACACGGUCCAGACUCCUACGGGAGGCAGCAGUAGGGAAUCUUCCGCAAUGGGCGAAAGCCUGACGGAGCAACGCCGCGUGAGUGAUGAAGGUCUUCGGAUCGUAAAACUCUGUUAUUAGGGAAGAACAUAUGUGUAAGUAACUGUGCACAUCUUGACGGUACCUAAUCAGAAAGCCACGGCUAACUACGUGCCAGCAGCCGCGGUAAUACGUAGGUGGCAAGCGUUAUCCGGAAUUAUUGGGCGUAAAGCGCGCGUAGGCGGUUUUUUAAGUCUGAUGUGAAAGCCCACGGCUCAACCGUGGAGGGUCAUUGGAAACUGGAAAACUUGAGUGCAGAAGAGGAAAGUGGAAUUCCAUGUGUAGCGGUGAAAUGCGCAGAGAUAUGGAGGAACACCAGUGGCGAAGGCGACUUUCUGGUCUGUAACUGACGCUGAUGUGCGAAAGCGUGGGGAUCAAACAGGAUUAGAUACCCUGGUAGUCCACGCCGUAAACGAUGAGUGCUAAGUGUUAGGGGGUUUCCGCCCCUUAGUGCUGCAGCUAACGCAUUAAGCACUCCGCCUGGGGAGUACGACCGCAAGGUUGAAACUCAAAGGAAUUGACGGGGACCCGCACAAGCGGUGGAGCAUGUGGUUUAAUUCGAAGCAACGCGAAGAACCUUACCAAAUCUUGACAUCCUUUGACAACUCUAGAGAUAGAGCCUUCCCCUUCGGGGGACAAAGUGACAGGUGGUGCAUGGUUGUCGUCAGCUCGUGUCGUGAGAUGUUGGGUUAAGUCCCGCAACGAGCGCAACCCUUAAGCUUAGUUGCCAUCAUUAAGUUGGGCACUCUAAGUUGACUGCCGGUGACAAACCGGAGGAAGGUGGGGAUGACGUCAAAUCAUCAUGCCCCUUAUGAUUUGGGCUACACACGUGCUACAAUGGACAAUACAAAGGGCAGCGAAACCGCGAGGUCAAGCAAAUCCCAUAAAGUUGUUCUCAGUUCGGAUUGUAGUCUGCAACUCGACUACAUGAAGCUGGAAUCGCUAGUAAUCGUAUAUCAGCAUGCUACGGUGAAUACGUUCCCGGGUCU
Molecule: ribosomal RNA, 1372 nt
Filed under: uncultured bacterium
Lineage: Bacteria
Description: bacterial SSU rRNA
Rfam family: Bacterial small subunit ribosomal RNA
Source: RNAcentral